This 5216-nucleotide long non-coding RNA is filed under the name Anas platyrhynchos (mallard). RNAcentral's name for it is "lncRNA (ENSAPLG00020001428.1)". The record is from RNAcentral. Lineage: Eukaryota; Metazoa; Chordata; Aves; Anseriformes; Anatidae.
ACCCAAUAAUAUUCUCUGUGUCUCAUAUGGGUACAUACCACGCUUCACACAUCCUUCCCUGUCCCUGUGUUGGCCUCCAAGAUACCCCAACCAUGGCUUUUCUUUACCUGUGUGCCCCCACAGGGCAUCACAGUGAGAUUAUGUUGUUAUCUGACGAAUAUGUUGUUAUUCCUGCAGGUGACCUCUGCAAGCUGAUUGAGGGUUCAUCUGUCCAGAUUGAGAUUUGUGGUACCAUGGCAUUUCUGUGCUGGCAGGAGCUGAGAGCACAUCACAGUGCAGAGCAGUGGUGUGAUGUGUUUUCAGCACUUGCAUUACCACGCAGCAUCUUCUUGCCUGAGGAGGACAGACGGAAUAGCCCUUGGAGCACAUGGCACAUACCCACCUCCCUCAGACCUCUUUGUGCUUAUCAGGAACUCUCCUUCCCCUUGAGAUCCCCACACAGCUGUUACGCUGCUGUCUUCUGGUGUGAAAAGAGAAAUCCUCCAGGAGGAGAAGCAAAUCACCUGCUCACUUGCUGCUUUUCUGUAUCAUCUCCUGGAGGCUGAAGGCAUGGCAGGGAGGAGGGCAACCAGCUCUUCAGGCUGCUUACGAGUGCUGCCUGUUCUUGUGGCACGAGGCCAGCUGGGCUGCCCUUUGGUGGUGUGGGACUGCAAAAUGGAUCGGAUGGCGUGUGGUCUCCAUGCUCGAGUGCUCAGGGUGCUGGCUCAGAGGAGUAAUGGAGCCCUCUCUGAGACACGCGCUCUCCUCCCAUUGAUUCAGCAGUCUGUUCUCUUCUGUCUGCCUGAGCUUGCGGGCUUUUCGAGGCCAAGGCAGGAUGAAUGAACCUCUGGUAAUUACUACAACAUGAAUUCAGGAGGAUCCUAUUGGUAGGGUUCAUCAGCAACUCAUUAAUUAAACUGUUGCCAUGGUGCCGGUUGCCCUGGUAGCAUGAAAUCCUUUCUCCUCCCUUUCCCCUCCUCCUCUGCAGUUCACGGGCUUCUCAUUCAUAUUCUUGUGCUUAACAUGAAUGAAGCCAGAGAGCACGGGGCUAGGGGAAGAGCUACUAGAGGAGAGAAGAUGCCUUUUCCCCCACUGUGACUACCCCCUCGUGGGCCUGAAUAAGCACUCAGCUCUUCCUCUGUGUUUUUCUUUCUUUGGAAACACGAAUUCUGCCUCAUACACGUCCUGUCUUUUUUUUUUUUUCUCUCCUACUGGUUGCUUACAGCACAAAUCCCAAUUACCCUGAGCACCUGUGUUAUUCUGGGUUCUUGGAAUGAGUUCCUGUGAUUGACAGUGGUGCAAGUAAAGGGCUGGGCACUUUAUCUGCAGCCUAAUUGCAGAGGCUUGGCAGUUUUCUAGAGGUAAGCCUUUGCCUGUGUAGGUUUUCUCUGCCUGAUUAAAUCACAAUAUUUCCUCUGUCUCCGAAGCCAGAAAGGACCAUUAACUCUUCCAGGCUGUCCACCUUUGUAGGACACAGCAGUGACUCCCCCCAUGUCUUCUGCUUUGUGAAUGCAAGCUUCUGGCUGAGCUGUGAUUUCCUUGCCAGAAGAUUCCUCAUCUUUGUAUAAAUGUUGAUAACGAUGGAGAACACUGCACCCUGUGGCAACCUGUCCAUCUAGGUGUCUAACCACUCCUUGUUGCCAAGAAUCACGCCCCCCCUCCCCCAACAUGCACGGUAGGUCUUGUAUGACAUUACUUUUCUUUUUUUUUUUCUUUUUUUUUUUUUUUUUUUUUCCUGCAGGGUGUUUUCUCACAGAAUCUAGCAGCUCCCUUCUUCAGAGAUGAAAUCCGAUCUCACCCCUGUGGAUGUAGAUGGAUGGUUGAUGAUUUGCCCUGAGCCCACCAUUCUGGCCAUGUCUGGCUGUAAAUAUUUGCAGAGUAAAUGCGUCCGUAGGAAGAAUUGGUUGUAUUCAUUUUGUAAGGGUGUUUUUCUGGUUCCAAGUGUUUGAAGUAAUAAUGAUAGGGCUGUGUUUCAGCAUCUAAGAACAAUGUUUUCAUAGCACAAACCUGAGAGGGUAUGGUACGUACGAGUGUGAGGAAGUACGGCCAGCUGGGAUGGUGUCAGAGGAAAACACAUGGUUAAAGAGUCAAACCUGACCUUGUCCUUACAGCUGCUGGGAGUGAUCACUGGUGUGUGCUGUCCUUUGAGCUCUGUUCUGGGGAAAGGCACAGUUGUUAUGGGCCACAAUCACACCUGUUGUGCAAGAACAAGUAGGUAUUUUGGACAGCUAGGGCUCUGAGGUCCAUCUUUCUCCCUGGCUCUGUUUUAUUUAACAGUCUAGACGUUGCAUUAGAAGUAGGGAUGGAAUUUAUCCCGUGGGCUAGAUUAUUCCCUGUCUGCCUGCUACGAGGUGUCACCCAGCUUCAUCCAAAGUCUCUGGCAAUGGCAAUGCUUCGAGAGGGCAGUGGAGCAGGUGGAGCUAGGGACUGAGGAAAAAUGAAAAUUCAAAGGUCCCUGAUUUGGCCCUACCUAGAAAUGUGAAAAAGUGUUAAGUCUGUAAUAUCAGCUCUGCUUUCUCCAGGCAUUAUAUGUUCUGCUUCACUCCCUGCCCAUUCAGAUGAAUGUAAAACCCUUGUGAAAGUGCCAUGAAAGCCAAAACCCCUGGCAGAGGACAGCACCUUCUUCCCUGGUAGCUCAGAGCCAGCACGUGUGACUGCACUGGUGUUACUGUGGAGCUUCUUGAGCACAAAUACACCGCCAAAUAGAGACAGACCAACUGCCCCUUGCAGUCUGUUGCCAAAAUAGUUCCAGCCCAUCUGAGGAUAAAGCAAGAAGGAUCCCACUUGUCUCAUUGCCUCUAAAUUACUAUGUGAGUAAGAAAUGCUUGUAUCUGUGGGGAAGAGCUGCCUGUCCUAGAGAUGAGAAGCCUGGUACAUCCUGGCCUACCUCUUUGUGGGCUGUUACUUGGUUUCUCACUGUGGUUUUCCUUCCCCUCGAGUUUUCUGCACUAAUUUUGUAAUAACAGUUAGUGCUGGCUUUCAUAAACAGACAUGCAACAUGCAAUUAGAGUUUGCUUUGUGUGAAAUAAAGUAGCUGUGAGUCAUAUCCAGACAAGUGAAUUAUCUGUGAUUAUUCAGCCAAGAAGGGAGACAGUGGUGUGCAGAGGAAUGUGCUAUGUAUCCUUAUUAACAUUUUGCUACGCACCAUGGCAGGGCUGGCUCCUUGGGAUGCCUGCACUACAAACACCAACACGACUGACUCCUCACAGGCCAUGUUCCUCUGCUACUAAGACUUGUGCAUAAUGGCAUUAACACUGCUUGGUCUUUCUCUGUUCCUAAAAAGAAUAAAAGGGGAGUUACCUGGUAGACACAAGCAGUCUUUAGGAGUCUGAAGCUAAAUGAAGCAAAUCGUGUAUGUGGCGAGGAGCAUGUAUGAAAGAAGUCCCUUGAGGGAAGAUAGCACAAAAUAGGUUUUCAGCAGUGCCCUCGGUUGAUGUGCCUGAUGAAUCUAUUCCUUUUUGUCCUCUGGGAAUGAAAAUAUGUCCCAGGAAGGGGCCUCAGGGUGCAGAAGGAACUGGGAAGCCUUUUGGGCUGAGAAGUUGCAAGCUCAGUGAACCAAGCUGUUUUCUGCAGGGGCAUCACAGCACAUCUCUUAUUUAUUGCCAGGUAGGAAACUUACAGGCUGUGACUCUGCAGUGAGGGAAGCACAGGCACACGAGCCGUUUCCAUGAGGAGAGAGAGUGACGGGGUGUGGGCAGUGUGGGCAGGGAGCGUGCAGGCUGCCCGCUUCACACAGUUGCAUACUUGUGACAGGAGGGGUGAUUUUGAAACCAAAAUGUGCUUCUUCAAGGCCAGGGUCACUUACAGGGAGGGGGGAGAUAGGAGUUGCUAAACAGCAUCUUCCCAGUCCCCAGCUGCGUAGCUUCAGCUGCCCAAGGAAGCUUCUUUGCCAUCCAUUUCAGGAAUCUGUUGACCCUUCCUCAUCCAGUUGCAAACGCCUUCAUCCAUACAAUGACAAGGAGAAAUGCUUAAUCCUCCACGAUGAAUCUAACAGCUGCUUCUCCCAGGAAAUGAACUAAAGGUUGCAGCUUUGCUUGAGUGAUUGUGAGUCAGGUAUGAGUCAUUCCUCCCUUGAAGGGCAUAUGGAUGUGCUUUGCUGAUAAACACACAAAGAGCACAGAGCCUGGGGUGAAAGGUUAUCACAGGAAGAAGGAACUAAAAACAAAAAAGAAACACAAACAAAUAAAUAAAAAAACAAAACAAAACAACACAAAAACUCCUCUCUGAGAUCGUAUCAGUAUACUCCAAACUGUCUGUUGACAGCACAGUGCAUUAGCUGGGGGUUUUAAAGACAUUGCCUCUUCCCUUCCACUGCGCAGUGACUUAUAAACAGUGGACAGGAACUUUAAACUUAUAAAAAGUGGACAGGAACUUUCUGUUUGAAUGGUAUUUGGAUAUUUCUACCUUACGGAUAGUUUAUGUUGAAUCUGAUCACCACAAGAUGCCUUGAGCCCAGGGAACAGGCAGUUGUGGAUAAAGGACAUCUGCAGCUGUUUUUGCACGCUAGAGCCAGGUGGCCUGAGUAUAGAUUAACAAACCACUGAAUGUGACAGCACAGAGUACUUGAAACCCCGGAAAUUAAUCUGUGUGUAAAAAAAAAAAAAAAAAGUCAUUUUCAGGGGAUAACUUUGUAUUGGAUAGCUUUCCAAUUAGCAGUGAGCAUAAAUGAAUGAAAUCAGUACAGAAAUUGUUGGCCAAAAUUACCUAGCUUUAUGCUAUGCCAAUAAGAAGAAGGGUUUGCAAUAGUUGUGUUGGGUGUAAAACUGGUUCCUGGAGCAGACUGCAACUGUUUUCAGAUGAUCCCGUUAGCUCAGUGAUAAUCCCUGAUCCCACAGGACAUCAGAGGCUGGAAAGCUGGCUGCAGCAGCAAGAAAUUAGCAUUAAUUGUGCUUCAUCUGAUGGAGCAAAUCCUACCCGAGUGCAUCCAGACACCAAUUUUCAUAUGCAGCCAUUCUGACCAUUUUACUGUCAAGCUGUUUCUUAAUGAUGUACAUUUAUUUAUGGCAAAGUGCCUACGAAAAGCAGUCUAGCAUGCUACCUUAGUGCAUGCCAGUGGAGUGUGAUCUGUAAGAACAGCUCAAAUCUUUUACUAGGCUGACUGCAAGGAGAGGACAGAUGUGCUUGUAAGCACACAAGUCCGUUCCCAGGUUACGAAUGGAAGCUGCUGCUUCCAGAUAGAAGCAGCUCAGGACCAAUUCCUCUGGGUUCAACUUAAUUAUGCUAAUUAUGCAAGCAAU